Molecule: long non-coding RNA, 363 nt
Organism: Rhinichthys klamathensis goyatoka
Lineage: Eukaryota; Metazoa; Chordata; Actinopteri; Cypriniformes; Leuciscidae
Exons: 3
Source: RefSeq, a predicted model, not a curated record
GACACUGGCAGCAUUAACACUAGCCCUACAACUGUCACACCAGUGACCAUCUCACCUGAGGUUCAUAACUUUAUUAGUCAAGGAGAGAGUGUGGAUUGGUUUGUCAGACUCUGAGACUGAGGGGAUCAUGAAAUGGGUGGAUAAUUUACCACUGAAACAAGAGUUUUGGAAUAAAGGUGAGCCAAAUAAUGCCGGUGGAGGCGAGGACUGUGUUGAACUGACGCCUUCGAAUCCCAUCCAGAACUGGAAUGAUCUCCCAUGCUCUGAGAAGAGGAAAGGGGUUUGUGAGAAAUAGGGUUCAUCCCGUCUUCUCAUGUUUUUAAUUGUAUUUUUUUAUGGAACCAUCACUAUUAUCAUUGAUUU